GACGAACGCUGGCGGCGUGCUUAACACAUGCAAGUCGAACGGAAAGGCCCCUUUGGGGGUACUCGAGUGGCGAACGGGUGAGUAACACGUGAGUAACCUGCCCUUGACUUCGGGAUAACUUCAGGAAACUGGGGCUAAUACCGGAUAGGAAUCCUUGCUGCAUGGUGGGGGUUGGAAAGCUUCGGCGGUUUUGGAUGGACUCGCGGCUUAUCAGCUUGUUGGUGGGGUAGUGGCUUACCAAGGCUUUGACGGGUAGCCGGCCUGAGAGGGCGACCGGCCACAUUGGGACUGAGAGACGGCCCAGACUCCUACGGGAGGCAGAAGUGGGGAAUAUUGCACAAUGGGCGGAAGCCUGAUGCAGCAACGCCGCGGGCGGGAUGACGGCCUUCGGGUUGUAAACCGCUUUCAGCAGGGGCGAAGCUUGUGGUGACGGUACCUGCAGAAGAAGCACCGGCUAACUACGUG
This 465-nucleotide ribosomal RNA is filed under the name uncultured bacterium. RNAcentral's name for it is "partial 16S ribosomal RNA". It matches the Rfam family "Bacterial small subunit ribosomal RNA", at positions 28 to 507 of the family's 1533-position model. The record is from RNAcentral.